RNAcentral lists this ribosomal RNA (468 nucleotides) under uncultured bacterium. RNAcentral's name for it is "partial 16S ribosomal RNA". It matches the Rfam family "Bacterial small subunit ribosomal RNA", at positions 28 to 507 of the family's 1533-position model. The record is from RNAcentral.
GACGAACGCUGGCGGCGUGCCUAACACAUGCAAGUCGAACGGAGACGACCCGCUUUUGUCGGGGGGUCAAAUAGGGGACGGGUGAGUAACGGGUGGGUAACCUACCCGUGGGCUUGGUGGCACUUCGAGGAACAUGAGCGAAUACCAGUUAUGAGCUUCCGCCGCAUGGUGGGGGUUGGGAAUGUUCGGCGGUUGGGGAUGGAAUCGAGUCUGAUCAGCUUGGUGGUGGGGUAGUGGCUUACCAAGGCUUUGACGGGUAGCCGGGCUGAGAGGGUGACCGGCCACAUUGGGACUGAGCUACGGCACAGACUCCUACGGGAGGCAGCAGUGGGGAAUAUUGCACAAUGGGCGGAAGCCUGAUGCAGUACCGCCGCGUGCGGUAUGACGGCCUUCGGGUUGUAAACCGCUUUCGCCUGUGACGAAGCGUGAGUGACGGUAAUGGGUAAAGAAGCACCGGCUAACUACGUG